AUUGAACGCUGGCGGCAGGCCUAACACAUGCAAGUCGAACGAGUGGCGGACGGGUGAGUACUGUCUGGGCAACUGCCUGAUGGAUGGGGCUAACUACUGGAAACGGUAGCUAAUACCGCUUACCGUCGGAUUUUCCCAGAUGGGAUGAGCUAGUAGGUGGGGUAAAGGCUCACCUAGGCGACGAUCCCUAACUGGUCUGCGAGGAUGACCAGACACACUGGAACGGAGACACGGUCCAGACUCCUACGGGAGGCAGCAGUGGGGAAUAUUGCACAAUGGGCGCAAGCCUGAUGCAGCCAUGCCGCGUGUAUGAAGAAGGCCUUCGGGUUGUAAAGUACUUUCAGCGGGGAGGCGUUACCCGCAGAAGAAGCACCGGCUAACUCCGUGCCAGCAGCCGCGGUAAUUC
Molecule: ribosomal RNA, 406 nt
Filed under: uncultured bacterium
Lineage: Bacteria
Description: partial 16S ribosomal RNA
Rfam family: Bacterial small subunit ribosomal RNA
Source: RNAcentral